UACGAGGGGGGCAAGUGUUGUUCGGAAUCACUGGGCGUAAAGGGAGCGUAGGCGGGCUCUUUAGUUGGAUGUUUAAAACCGGGGCCCAACCCCGGCGUGGCAUCCAAAACUGGGAGUCUUGAAUGGGACAGAGGCUAGUGGAAUUGGAGGUGUAGCGGUGGAAUGCGUAGAGAUCUCCAAGAACACCCGUUGCGAAGGCGGCUAGCUGGGUCCACAUUGACGCUGAGGCUCGAAAGCAUGGGGAGCAAACAGG
RNAcentral lists this ribosomal RNA (253 nucleotides) under uncultured bacterium. RNAcentral's name for it is "partial 16S ribosomal RNA". It matches the Rfam family "Bacterial small subunit ribosomal RNA", at positions 524 to 776 of the family's 1533-position model. The record is from RNAcentral.